Molecule: ribosomal RNA, 305 nt
Filed under: uncultured bacterium
Lineage: Bacteria
Description: bacterial SSU rRNA
Rfam family: Bacterial small subunit ribosomal RNA
Source: RNAcentral
UCUCCUACGGGGGGCAGCAGUGGGGAAUAUUGCACAAUGGGGGGAACCCUGAUGCAGCGACGCCGCGUGAGUGAAGAAGUAUUUCGGUAUGUAAAGCUCUAUCAGCAGGGAAGAAAAUGACGGUACCUGACUAAGAAGCCCCGGCUAACUACGUGCCAGCAGCCGCGGUAAUACGGAGGGUGCGAGCGUUAAUCGGAAUUACUGGGCGUAAAGCGCUCGUAGGCGGUAUGUCAAGUCAAGGGUGAAAUCCCCGCGCUCAACGUGGGAACUGCCGUUGAAACUGGCAAACUGGAGGGUGUGAGAGG